This 1432-nucleotide long non-coding RNA is filed under the name Volvox carteri. RNAcentral describes it as "long non-coding RNA (VCAR_LNC001051)". Lineage: Eukaryota; Viridiplantae; Chlorophyta; Chlorophyceae; Chlamydomonadales; Volvocaceae. The record is from RNAcentral.
UUCGGGAAGCUUCCGGAUGAGUGCAGGCCGGGCUGCUGUCCUGCAGAGGGAGCUCCAGUGGGGGGAGAGUAGUAGGGAGAAGGACAAGGCAGUGGAGGCGGUAAGCGGAUGCGGCGAAGACGGGGGGGUGUUGUGGGUUUCCCUGAACUACUGCGAGGCUGCAGGAAAUUGUAUCCAGUACAGGAUUGAAUCUUAUUCAGCAGGGGUUCAGUGUGAGAAGAGCGUGUACGGCAGUAAGGAAGGGUAUUGGCUAACACGCGUAGUGUCGUUGGAGUAUUGGAACGGGAUUCGGUUAGAAGAUGGUUGUGCGAUAACGGUCUCUAAGAAGUUACGGAGCUGUACGGGGGUAUUGUUAUCAAAUGGAAGGCUCUACGGGCCCUUGCGGUUAUCCUGCCUUAUUGCGGCAUGCUCGUAACCGUACUGCAAGGUAUGUCCGUAUCUUGCCGUACGCACGAGUAUUUUACCUCUGCACAGACCACCUCGAGACAUGUACCGCAGCCCGACAGCGGCCGCCGCGUGGCGAGAGGGGAAUCCGGGGAAAUACCCACAACGUACGGCGAGCUCAGAGGGCCGUAACCGCAAGAGUUGUUGCUGAGCGUUAUGGCCUGUACGACAAAGCAUACCAGACGAACAGGAAUGAAUAACAAAAUCUUUUACGUAUGGACAAUUUGUUGCACUGGAGGAUGCUUGAUGGGGGGUGGCCGGGGCCGCGGCAGCGCUGAUUUUUUUGUUGAAGGUUCAAUAACUUUUUGUAAACUUAAAUUCCUCAAUCGUGAGGCGGCGCUAGGAGAGCCUCCGCCACCAGCACCUCCCGCUCCUCUCCGGGAAAUGACUACACUGCACCGGAACAUGCUAUCUGCAGGAAAGUUAAACGUAGCUGCUCCGCCGUCCAGGCCGCACUCUGUCUGAGCUAAGCUAGCCCUGUAGUCAUCGACAAACCCCAAGAAAACCCCACAAUAUUUAAUAUAUAAUAAUCCAGGCUCAUGGCCCGGCGCACUCCGCCCUGCUUGGUUUUGUCAGAAAUACCCUAAACACCUUCCCGGCUUCCGGUAAUGGUCUUUUCAGGACCAUUCUACCCACAAGUGCGGUCCCGCGUUUUGGCAUCUGGCCGACUGGAGUGGCUCAAGGAAUCAGUUUCUAUCGGUAAAUCCAUUCUUUUUUACAACGGGGCCGAACCCCUCUCCCCUCUCCCCGGUCGAUUGCAUUCCUUUAAAGAAAUUUACGUAUCUUUUACAACGAAUUGGGUCACGGCCACAGCGACCAGACAUGCAGCCCCAAAGAUUUCUUUGCCAUCCUGGGAAAUAGCGAGUUCAGGAUAUUUGUGUGGUCGGCCGUACGACACCAUCCUUGUACCGACAAUGCCCAAAUACUCACACUCACCUCUCCACUGUCACCGAAACGGAAGCCUCGAGCAGUAACAGGUACUGAGAAG